GUGAUGAACAGAAAUGGUUAUUCUGGAUCGAGGAGUUAGGGUUUUAAUUAAGAGCGAUGGGGAGAGGGAAGAUCGCGAUAAGGAGGAUCGACAAUUCCACGAGCAGGCAAGUGACGUUCUCGAAGCGAAGGAACGGUUUGUUGAAGAAGGCGAAGGAGCUUGCGAUUUUGUGCGAUGCUGAGGUUGGAGUUAUGAUCUUUUCCAGCACUAACUCUAUGAUUUCUCCAGUACCAGCUGCUCAAGACUCAGAAAAAGGCAAGGGUUGGAAGCGAUUUGAGUUUGACAAGGAUGAGCCUCUUGAAGAUGAGGAAAUUGAAGUGGCUGAAGAUGAUGCUUCCUUGGUCAAGCAAAUUGGCCAGAGUUUUCGGUAUUCUAAAAUAGAGGAAAGAAGGGAGGAACAAAUCCAAGCUGCUCAUGACGAAGCCAUGUUUGGUGCUUCAGCACUUCCACCUCCUACCAGUACUGACAGUGAGCCUGAAAGGGAGAAUGAGAAAGAAGUUGAUAAAAAAGCUAUUGUUACAAGCCUCUUAAGUGAAACGCAAUCCUCUUCAAGCUUCUCUUUGAAAAUUGGAAAGACUGCCAUCUCGUUCAACAAGGAUGGAUAGACAUGCACAACCAAAGAGAAAUAAUGAGUUUGAUUGCACUCUUUGCCUGAAGUUGCUGUAUGAACCUGUUACAACCCCUUGUGGACAUUCCUUUUGCCGUUCAUGUCUAUUUCAGUCAAUAGAUUCUGGGAACAGAUGCCCUUUGUGCAGGAUAGUCCUGUUUAUUAGUCCAAGAACAUGUUCAAUCAGGUAAAGCUGUCAAAAAUUUGACUUAUUAUGUAGUUCUCUGAUUGUAAGUUUGUAGUUCAAUACUCCCUUUGGUGUUUAUACAAGGCACAUCCUAGGGUUAUGAGGACACAUUUAGCUAAAUUUGGUUUAGUCUUAGAUGUUGGAACAAAAUAAAAGUUCUAAUUGAUUUUAUGGACAGCUUUUUUUUGCUAAGAUAUUUAUA
Non-coding RNA from Arachis ipaensis, 996 nucleotides. Lineage: Eukaryota; Viridiplantae; Streptophyta; Magnoliopsida; Fabales; Fabaceae. The record is from RefSeq and is a predicted model, not a curated record.